This 406-nucleotide ribosomal RNA is filed under the name uncultured bacterium. Its description in RNAcentral is "partial 16S ribosomal RNA". It matches the Rfam family "Bacterial small subunit ribosomal RNA", at positions 30 to 526 of the family's 1533-position model. The record is from RNAcentral.
AUUGAACGCUGGCGGCAGGCUUAACACAUGCAAGUCGAGCGAGCGGCGGACGGGUGAGUAAUGUCUGGGAAACUGCCUGAUGGAGGGGGAUAACUACUGGAAACGGUAGCUAAUACCGCAUACCAUCAGAUGUGCCCAGAUGGGAUUAGCUAGUAGGUGGGGUAAUGGCUCACCUAGGCGACGAUCUCUAGCUGGUCUGAGAGGAUGACCGCCGACGCUGGAACUGAUGCACCGUCUAGAGCCCACAGUGAGGCAGCAGUGGGUAAUAUUGCGCAAUGGUCGGUAGCCUGAUGGAGCCAUGCCGCGUGUGUUAAGAAGGCCUUAGGGUUUUAAAGUUCUGUCAGCGGGGAAGUGUUACCUGAAGAAGAAGCGCCGGCUAACUCCGUGCCAGCAGCCGCGGUAAUAC